Electrophorus electricus (electric eel) is the source of this 260-nucleotide long non-coding RNA. RefSeq lists it as uncharacterized. The record is from RefSeq and is a predicted model, not a curated record. NCBI's taxonomy places the organism in Eukaryota, Metazoa, Chordata, Actinopteri, Gymnotiformes, Gymnotidae.
AUCCUCAAGUGAUCUUCCUGGGAGCAGCUAUGGGAGUGUGUGUGUGUUUGUCAUUUCUGCUCAAGCAGUUUUAAACCGCAAAAGGAGAAACUCUGAACACUGUAGUGUGAGAAUUAAGUAAGGUGCUACAAUAAGGAAGAAGGUCAGAGAGGACCCUCAAUCCUCAGAUCUGAAUUAUGCUGCAUUACAUUUCAACGAGAGGAAAACCACAAGAGGCAGAGAAAAAAGAGGACAGCCUGAAGACUGUGUGUACUCCACUG